Molecule: long non-coding RNA, 587 nt
Organism: Coccinella septempunctata (seven-spotted ladybird)
Lineage: Eukaryota; Metazoa; Arthropoda; Insecta; Coleoptera; Coccinellidae
Exons: 3
Source: RefSeq, a predicted model, not a curated record
GCGUCCGUUCCUUAUCAUAAAUACUAUAAUUCAGCCACAGCCUUCAAGUAAUUCAUGAUCGAAUGCGAGAAGUGUCGUGAUUUCAGGUCAUUAAAGACCGUCUUCUUGAUGUAAGUGUUCAGAAUGCAAACGAAACUAACUAGACGUGCAGAAGUGACAGCUGUCUGCUGAGUGGAAGCAGCAGAACGUCCCAGGUAAAUUUGCUUCCCGAUAGCCCAGUUGCUCCUAUCCACCUUCUGAAUGUUCCCGAUUCCUCAACGGAAUAAAAGACAAAAACACACAUGUCUUCUGGCACUAUAAAAUUCCCCACUUCGUCGUAUUUCUCGAUUGUCAGCGAUUUGAAGGAAAAUGCUGACUAAGCUUUCUCCCGAGGCAGCUUUCAAUAUGAUUAAUCUACAGAAGGGGGUAAUCAAUAUGGGGCUCGCAGUUUCGGCACCGCAUUUGCGCCCUCAUGGUUGCAUGCACAGGUAAAUAGGAAACGUCUUUCGUCAGCUGCGAACAUAUAUGGACUUACAUAGACAAUAAGAUACAACGAGAAGCUAAGCGAAAUAGAGGCAGUCCUUCAGUUUUUAGGGCAAUAUAUCUAG